Molecule: ribosomal RNA, 301 nt
Filed under: uncultured bacterium
Lineage: Bacteria
Description: partial 16S ribosomal RNA
Rfam family: Bacterial small subunit ribosomal RNA
Source: RNAcentral
CAGUCGCCGCGGGAAUGCGAAGGGGGCUAGCGUUGCUCGGAAUUACUGGGCGUAAAGGGAGCGUAGGCGGGUCGUUUAGUCAGAGGUGAAAUCCCGGGGCUCAACCUCGGAACUGCCUUUGAUACUGGCGACCUUGAGUAUGGGAGAGGUGAGUGGAACUCCGAGUGUAGAGGUGAAAUUCGUAGAUAUUCGGAAGAACACCAGUGGCGAAAGCGACUCACUGGCCCAUUACUGACGCUGAGGCUCGAAAGCGUGGGGAGCAAACAGGAUUAGAUACCCCCGUAGUCCCUGUCUCUUAUAC